GUCUAGAUAGCUCAGGGGUAUAGAGCAUGGGAUUGAAGAUCCUAUAGUCAUAGGUUCGAAUCCUAUUCUGGACA
This 74-nucleotide transfer RNA is filed under the name Hypnea edeniana. Its description in RNAcentral is "tRNA-Phe". It matches the Rfam family "tRNA". Rfam says of the family: Transfer RNA (tRNA) molecules are approximately 80 nucleotides in length. Their secondary structure includes four short double-helical elements and three loops (D, anti-codon, and T loops). The record is from RNAcentral. Lineage: Eukaryota; Rhodophyta; Florideophyceae; Gigartinales; Hypneaceae.